CGCCUUCUUCACUGCCAGCUCUCUUCCCGGGGCUCCCCGGCUGAAAGUUCAUAAACGGCAGCGGCGAAGUUCGAGGCUUCGUCGAAACUGAAGAAGACAUAGAGCGAUUUCGAGGGCGAUUUCUGUCCGUCUUGACGAUCAUGGUACCGAAGUCUUCAGUAUCGUGAUCGAAAUCAAAAGCAUGGUCGUCCUCGUAGUCAAUUGGGG
Molecule: unclassified non-coding RNA, 207 nt
Filed under: Hevea brasiliensis (rubber tree)
Lineage: Eukaryota; Viridiplantae; Streptophyta; Magnoliopsida; Malpighiales; Euphorbiaceae
Source: RNAcentral